GACGAACGCUGGCGGCGUGCUUAACACAUGCAAGUCGAACGGAAAGGCCCUGCUUUUGUGGGGUGCUCGAGUGGCGAACGGGUGAGUAACACGUGAGUAACCUGCCCUUGACUUUGGGAUAACUUCAGGAAACUGGGGCUAAUACCGGAUAGGAGCUCCUGCUGCAUGGUGGGGGUUGGAAAGUUUCGGCGGUUGGGGAUGGACUCGCGGCUUAUCAGCUUGUUGGUGGGGUAGUGGCUUACCAAGGCUUUGACGGGUAGCCGGCCUGAGAGGGUGACCGGCCACAUUGGGACUGAGAUACGGCCCAGACUACUACGGGAGGCAGCAGUGGGGAAUAUUGCACAAUGGGCGGAAGCCUGAUGCAGCAACGCCGCGUGCGGGGUGACGGCCUUCGGGUUGUAAACCGCUUUCGCCUGUGACGAAGCGUGAGUGACGGUAAUGGGUAAAGAAGCACCGGCUAACUACGUG
Molecule: ribosomal RNA, 468 nt
Filed under: uncultured bacterium
Lineage: Bacteria
Description: partial 16S ribosomal RNA
Rfam family: Bacterial small subunit ribosomal RNA
Source: RNAcentral